Molecule: long non-coding RNA, 1317 nt
Filed under: Calidris pygmaea (Spoon-billed sandpiper)
Lineage: Eukaryota; Metazoa; Chordata; Aves; Charadriiformes; Scolopacidae
Description: lncRNA (ENSCPGG00000001185.1)
Source: RNAcentral
CAGACACCAUAGCAUUUGGGCAUUAUUUUUUAAUUUACUACCUUGCUUAUUUUCAUUUGCUUUAAAAUACUCCCAUCCAGGAGCUCCGAGCACAUGGGAUGCUCCAUGGAUCGGUUCCACUUUGCCCAAGGAUUGAAGUGUCUAAAUCCCCACCCACCUUCUGUGUCCUCAAACUGCUCUGCCUGACUAUGAUAGAACAAAGUGUAUUUUGCCAAAAAAGCAAAUACUGUCUCUUCUCCUGCAGCUUAGACAAGAAGCCUGGCCUGGCCAGUAGCCAGCCACUGGUCUGGGAGUCCUGGUUUGCAAGUGUUUGUGAUCAGAUGAUGCGAAACUAGUGCUCAGAAAGAUGUGCAAGACCUGAAACACUCAUAAGACCUUGCCGGUUCUGAAAUCCUGCACGUCGAUACCUUAUCGCCUCGUCUAUUUAGAUAACGAAAGCAAAACUGUUCUGUUGUUUAGGCAAUUAAAACAUCAGUAAAUAACACAGCUGCAAAUAUUUUUGUGCCACCAAGGAGGCUGUUGCAGAGUUUGCUGCUGCCAGCUUUGUUGAAGCAGCUCCUGCAUCCAUGUUCUAGAGGAGUCAGAAAGCUCCAGUGAAGGUGAAUGGAAAAAAAAACCCGGUAUUUGACAUGUAGCAGAAGCCCCCUUGUAUCUUCUGCUUGGCUGCAUCACGCUGUCAUGGCUCUUCUUGGAUGUGGAAAUAGAUGUUUAUGACAUUUAGCAGCAUCACGGGAAUUAAUCUCUCUCUGAUUUGCUGAGUGGGGAAGCGCAACAGAAAGAAAAACAUAAGCUCUCUUUUAAAGCAUGUGCAGGCCUUACAUAGCAUCAUGCACUUAGUGACUUCCCAAAAAUGGUAAAAAAUAUAUAAUAAUUAAUUGAGCUCGACUAUGAAAUCAAGUCGUUGUGAUUGCUUUUUCUCUCUUAUUUCCACUCCAGGAGGACUUACAGCUUUAAGAGUUAUCUAGAGAUGUAGCCAAGCCCCAGAACAGGACAGAAUCUGAGGCAGAGAUGUCCAUUGUGACGUGUUUUCACAGACAUUGUUGUGUGUUGUGACUUCUCCACCCUGUAAUUUUGCAGGGUUUAGGCCCAGAAUAAUUUAAAUGUCCAUCUUGGUCAGCUCUGUGUGGAGAUGAAGAACAGCAAAAGCUUGUGAGGUCUUUAUCAAAACACUGCACAGUGUCAUUUCUAAAUUUUGUAAGACCUAUAGUUUAUAAGUCUUAUAAAGCUCUUAAAUGUACCCAUCUCCUUCCCUAGAACUUGUGGUUCAUUUUCUUACAGUUAACAGUUAACUACCAGUUAUCUAAUUUUAAAUACUUG